Non-coding RNA from Salmo salar (Atlantic salmon), 54 nucleotides. The record is from Rfam. NCBI's taxonomy places the organism in Eukaryota, Metazoa, Chordata, Actinopteri, Salmoniformes, Salmonidae.
UGCACUCACUACUGUAAGUCGCUCUGGAUAAGAGCGUCUGCUACAUGACUAAAA